RNAcentral lists this unclassified non-coding RNA (381 nucleotides) under uncultured bacterium. Its description in RNAcentral is "contains 16S-23S intergenic spacer region". The record is from RNAcentral.
UCCGGUUUGGCACCGGCAGUCCUCCCAGAGUCCCCGCCAUGACGCGCUGGCAACUGGGAGCGGGGGUUGCGCUCGUUGCGGGACUUAACCCAACAUCUCACGUCACGAGCUGACGACAGCCAUGCAGCACCUGUGUGCAGGUCCCCGAAGGGAAGGAAUCCAUCUCUGGAAACCGUCCUGCCAUGUCAAGGGCUGGUAAGGUUCUGCGCGUUGCUUCGAAUUGAACCACAUGCUCCACCGCUUGUGCGGGCCCCCGUCAAUUCCUUUGAGUUUUAAUCUUGCGACCGUACUCCCCAGGCGGGAUGCUUACUGCGUUAGCGCCGGCACCCAGAGGGUCGCUCCCCCAGGCACCUAGUACCCAUCGUUUACGGCGUGGACUAC